CUAUUUUGUUAGUAAAGAUAAAAUUAUUAUCAAAUGGUUAUCUUUUGGUGUUCUAAAACACUCUCUACUUUAAGUUUGUCAAACGUCAUCUUAGCUUCUCUUUACAACACUUUAAGAACAAGACUUCUUACAUAAGCUUCAAUCAAGCCUAACUGGCCCUUCUUGUAGCUAGAUUGUAACCAAAUUAACAUUUUCAAGAUCCACAGGAAGUACGGAUAUAACAGAUAACAGAAAAGGUGACACAAGUUGGUAAGAAAACAAGUUCUGUUUGGGCAUUUGACCUAUGCCCUUGGGAGGGAGGGAUCAUAUAGGUAAAGAGUAUAAAAAGGUUAAGGGAAAUACAACUUUUUUUGAUUGAAAAUAGAGUAUUUAUAGAACAAUACUCGGCCUAAAAGAAAAUUCAAAAUAAUUUAAAAAACA
Molecule: long non-coding RNA, 420 nt
Organism: Hibiscus syriacus
Lineage: Eukaryota; Viridiplantae; Streptophyta; Magnoliopsida; Malvales; Malvaceae
Exons: 2
Source: RefSeq, a predicted model, not a curated record